CGGGUGCGUAACGCGUAUACAAUCUACCUUUUACAGGGGGAUAGCCCAGAGAAAUUUGGAUUAAUACCCCAUGGCAUAUGUUUGUGGCAUCACAUACAUAUUAAAGAUUCAUCGGUAAGAGAUGAGUAUGCGUUCUAUUAGCUAGUAGGUGCGGUAACGGCGCACCUAGGCUACGAUAGAUAGGGGCCCUGAGAGGGGGAUCCCCCACACUGGUACUGAGACACGGACCAG
This 231-nucleotide ribosomal RNA is filed under the name uncultured bacterium. RNAcentral's name for it is "partial 16S ribosomal RNA". It matches the Rfam family "Bacterial small subunit ribosomal RNA", at positions 103 to 334 of the family's 1533-position model. The record is from RNAcentral.